GCGCAAUAGACGAGUUGGCGUAA
RNAcentral lists this non-coding RNA (23 nucleotides) under Arabidopsis thaliana (thale cress). The record is from RNAcentral. Lineage: Eukaryota; Viridiplantae; Streptophyta; Magnoliopsida; Brassicales; Brassicaceae.